GUUUUGUUCACAAACCCGUGGAUUUGAGUAUUCAAGCAUGAAUUAAAUAUUUAAGCGUAUUUGGGGAACAUGGUAUCUGAGGGAGUGAGUGAAACAUUUCCUGCUUGUCUCCUGUGCAAACCGCGUCAUAACAUGCUCUGAAACCGUUGUGGUCCCGCUUGCUUGCCCCAAGUAGAGGUAAGCAAUUGCGGGAUAGCAGUGGAUCUCAGGAUGUCAGAACCAUAAUUUGGCACUACAUUUUCGUAUUCCGGGCGGCUGCCUAACCUUGAACACGCCUCAUGCUCCAG
Long non-coding RNA from Paramacrobiotus metropolitanus, 287 nucleotides. RefSeq lists it as uncharacterized. The record is from RefSeq and is a predicted model, not a curated record. The transcript has 4 exons. NCBI's taxonomy places the organism in Eukaryota, Metazoa, Tardigrada, Eutardigrada, Parachela, Macrobiotidae.